This 381-nucleotide ribosomal RNA is filed under the name uncultured eukaryote. Its description in RNAcentral is "partial 18S ribosomal RNA". It matches the Rfam family "Eukaryotic small subunit ribosomal RNA", at positions 592 to 977 of the family's 1831-position model. The record is from RNAcentral.
CAAUAGCGUAUAUUAAAGUUGUUGCAGUUAAAAAGCUCGUAGUUGGAUUUGUGGCGUACGGUGUGUUCCGGGCACUUGUUGUCUGAGUAACCUGCUGUUGCCAUCCUUGGGUGGAACCUGUGUGGCAUUAGGUUGUCGUGCAGGGGAUGCCCAUCAUUUACUGUGAAAAAAUUAGAGUGUUCAAAGCAGGCUUAUGCCGUUGAAUAUAUUAGCAUGGAAUAAUGAGAUAGGACUUUUUUGCUAUUUUGUUGGUUUGCGCAAAGAGGUAAUGAUUAAUAGGGACAGUUGGGGGUAUUCGUAUUCCAUUGUCAGAGGUGAAAUUCUUGGAUUUUUGGAAGACGAACUACUGCGAAAGCAUUUACCAAGGAUGUUUUCAUUAAU